AACGAACGCUGGCGGCAUGCCUAACACAUGCAAGUCGAACGAGACCUUCGGGUCUAGUGGCGCACGGGUGCGUAACGCGUGGGAACCUGCCCUUAGGUUCGGAAUAACUCCCCGAAAGGGGUGCUAAUACCGGAUAAUGUCUUCGGACCAAAGAUUUAUCGCCUUUGGAUGGGCCCGCGUUGGAUUAGCUAGUUGGUAGGGUAAAAGCCUACCAAGGCGACGAUCCAUAGCUGGUCUGAGGGGAUGAUCAGCCACACUGGGACUGAGACACGGCCCAGACUCCUACGGGAGGCAGCAGUGGGGAAUAUUGGACAAUGGGCGAAAGCCUGAUCCAGCAAUGCCGCGUGAGUGAUGAAGGCCCUAGGGUUGUAAAGCUCUUUUACCCGGGAUGAUAAUGACAGUACCGGGAGAAUAAGCUCCGGCUAACUCCGUG
RNAcentral lists this ribosomal RNA (433 nucleotides) under uncultured bacterium. RNAcentral's name for it is "partial 16S ribosomal RNA". It matches the Rfam family "Bacterial small subunit ribosomal RNA", at positions 29 to 507 of the family's 1533-position model. The record is from RNAcentral.